CACACCUCCCCAUCAAAGCCCUCAGGAACUCCAGCAAAGACAGAGGAAAAGCAUUCCCACCAUACUACUACAACAGACCUGCAGUGAGCUGCAAAGGGGAGCAAGGAAGCAAAAUUGAAAUUUGACAACCUUCUUUGAAUCCUGACAGCCUUACAAAGGCAUUCACCAAGGUACCAGGGAAGGGAGAAUAAGCCAAAACUCCUCUUUGAGGGAAAGGAGGAAAGGGAUGGAAAGAAAUAAGCCACUGAAAACAGGAUUUUGAAAAAGAAGUGCUAUCUCAGCCUGAACUCUCUUUUUGCAGGAACACCUCCAGGAAAUGAUAAUGAUAAAUGCUACGUUCACAACCU
Gavialis gangeticus (Gharial) is the source of this 347-nucleotide long non-coding RNA. RefSeq lists it as uncharacterized. The record is from RefSeq and is a predicted model, not a curated record. The transcript has 2 exons. Lineage: Eukaryota; Metazoa; Chordata; Crocodylia; Gavialidae.